CACUGUGGAAGCUUUGUUCUUUUGCUCUUUGCAAUAAAUCUUGCUACUGCUCACUCUUUGGGUCCACGCUGCUUUUAUGAGCUGUAACACUCACCGCGAAGAUCUGCAGCUUCACUCCUGAGCCCAGCAAGACCACGAGCCCACCGGGAGGAAUGAACAACUCCAGACACGCUACCUUAAGAGCUGUACCACUCACCGCGAAGGUCUGCAGCUUCACUCCUGAGCCAGCGAGACCACGAACCCACCAGAAGGAAGAAACUCCGAACACAUCUGAACAUCAGAAGGGACAGACUCCAGACACGCCACCUUAAGAGCUGUAACACUCACCGCGAGGGUCCACGGCUUCAUUCUUGAAGUCAGUGAGACCAAGAACCCACCAAUUCCGGACACAGUGCUGAGAAUCAUGCCUUGAAAUCUAGCAGCUCUGUUAAAAACUGAGCAAGGUGUACUUCGGGGUUGUGUUGAGAAGGUUGGUGUUCAGCUAAAUCAGGAGGGAAGGCCAAGGAAAAUCAGGCUUGGCACCUGUCAACAGCUUGUUUUCAUUUCCUUUCCAAUUUAAGAAUGUGUUUAACAUUCUAUCCCAGACAAUGUGAUGGUCAUGAAGUCUCUGUCAGAGAGGAAAGAGGGAGUUAAUCUAUAAUGAAGAUCAACAGUGAAGAGGAAAGGGGUCUUCCCUGGAACGCUUCAGUCAUAUACGACAUUUUACACAACAAUAAUGGACCUGUGUAAGGAGGUAUGUGUGGGAGAAGAUUCCAGAAGGUCUUGAGACACUCCAGAUGAAGGUUGGUGUGGGGCUGUGCUGCUGGAGCACCAGAGAGUGAAAAGAGGUUAUCUCCCUCUGUGCCAGGCCAGAGUGCAGUGGUGCAAUCACGGCUCACUGUAGUCUCAACCUCCUGGGCUCAAGAGAUCCUCCCACUUCAGCCUCCCAAGCAGCUAAGACUACAGUUAUUUUAUUCUUAUGAGCUUGUGGGCUCCAUCUACCAACCUCUGGGCAAAUGCUCAUCUGACUUCCAUAGACACACAGCAAGCAGACAACCACACAAAGAGGAAGAGGGAGAAUAUUUACCAGCCAUGGAACAUCUGCUCUGUGCUUAUAUCUCAUAUGCAUUAUCUCUAAUUAUCAAAAGAAGACAUGUCCUUAACCUUGGCACAACAAAUCUCUAAAUCGAUUGAGACCUGUCUCAGAUACUUCUUGGUUUACAAGAUGGAGGCUGAAAUUAAAGAGAAAGAUCCUCACUCAACUCACAGAGGAGCAGAAUGGGAAGAGGACUUAGUGAGAAUUCCCUGAACACAGGAGAAAACCGAAGCCCAGAGAGUGGAUGGCCAAGUCCAAGGUCACACAGCCAAGUGCAUCCGAGCAGCGCAGGAUCCAGGUUUCCUGCCCCAGUGCUCUUUCUGCAGCCCAUGCCACCUGUUUUCAUGCUAUCUCAGUUCACCUUCCAGCUACACACCUGCAAUCAGAAACAGAAAGUCUGAGAGUGUGUGUGGAGCCAAAGAGGGGACAGCAGUGGUUAGAAGCAAGGCACAAGUCAUACCUACAUUCAAGGAGAGGGGACCAUGCAAAGGAUAAACUGCAGAGAGACAACAGAUUUACAUCCCAGACACAUUCACACUGGGCCAAGAGCAGCUGCCAUUGCAGAUUCGAGUCACGUCCUUUUUUCCUUCCUUCUCCUUCUUGGAGUUACAACAGAAGCUGGGGAGGUGAGAGUGCAGGACGUGGAUGAAGCAGAGAGGCACGUGCCUGUCUCAUUCGCCUCUGGAUCUGCUGCAUCCAGGACUGUGCCAGCACAAAGUGGGAGCCCGAUAAAUAUUUAUUGAAGAAAUGAAAGGUGACAAAAGGCAGAAGGAGGGAGACCCCAAAAAGAGGUAAAUUUGGUAUCUUAGCAAGUGGGUGACUACCACUGUCUGGGGGAAAGCUGAUACACGAGGACUUGACAAU
Homo sapiens (human) is the source of this 1939-nucleotide long non-coding RNA. Ensembl annotates it as T cell leukemia/lymphoma 6. Its record names the gene TCL6. NCBI's taxonomy places the organism in Eukaryota, Metazoa, Chordata, Mammalia, Primates, Hominidae. The record is from Ensembl.